Small nucleolar RNA from Phyllostomus discolor (pale spear-nosed bat), 127 nucleotides. RefSeq annotates it as small nucleolar RNA SNORA38. The transcript has a single exon. Lineage: Eukaryota; Metazoa; Chordata; Mammalia; Chiroptera; Phyllostomidae. The record is from RefSeq and is a predicted model, not a curated record.
CCCUUCCACAAAGAAUGUCUGGUUCCCUGUCUUGGGCCAUGUAAGAAUUGGAGGCAAAGAGAGGUCGACUUGGAGAAGUCUGGGGCCAGUUGUUCCUUGCAGGCUGAGGAUCAGCUGUCCUGCCUAG